AACGAACGCUGGCGGCAUGCCUAACACAUGCAAGUCGAACGAGACCUUCGGGUCUAGUGGCGCACGUGUGCGUAACGCGUGGGAACCUGCCCUUAGGUUCGGAAUAACUCCCCGAAAGGGGUGCUAAUACCGGAUAAUGUCUUCGGACCAAAGAUUUAUCGCCUUUGGAUGGGCCCGCGUUGGAUUAGCUAGUUGGUAGGGUAAAAGCCUACCAAGGCGACGAUCCAUAGCUGGUCUGAGAGGAUGAUCAGCCACACUGGGACUGAGACACGGCCCAGACUCCUACGGGAGGCAGCAGUGGGGAAUAUUGGACAAUGGGCGAAAGCCUGAACCAGCAAUGCCGCGUGAGUGAUGAAGGCCUUAGGGUUGUAAAGCUCUUUUACCCGGGAUGAUAAUGACAGUACCGGGAGAAUAAGCUCCGGCUAACUCCG
RNAcentral lists this ribosomal RNA (431 nucleotides) under uncultured bacterium. RNAcentral describes it as "partial 16S ribosomal RNA". It matches the Rfam family "Bacterial small subunit ribosomal RNA", at positions 29 to 505 of the family's 1533-position model. The record is from RNAcentral.